This 263-nucleotide ribosomal RNA is filed under the name uncultured bacterium. RNAcentral's name for it is "partial 16S ribosomal RNA". It matches the Rfam family "Bacterial small subunit ribosomal RNA", at positions 524 to 786 of the family's 1533-position model. The record is from RNAcentral.
UACGAAGGAUCCUAGCGUUGUCCGGAUUUACUGGGUUUAAAGGGUGCGUAGGUGGACUAUUAAGUCAGUGGUGAAAGCUUGCAGCUUAACUGUAAAAUUGCCAUUGAAACUGAUAGUCUCGAGUACGGUUGAGGUCACUGGAAUGUAUCAUGUAGCGGUGAAAUGCUUAGAUAUGAUACAGAACACCAAUUGCGAAGCAGGUGACUAAACCGUAACUGACACUGAGGCACGAAAAGCGUGGGAUCGGAACAAGAGUAGUAAAC